GACGAACGCUGGCGGCGUGCCUAAUACAUGCAAGUCGAACGCUUCUUUCCUCCCGAGUGCUUGCGCUCAAUUGGAAAGAGGAGUGGCGGACGGGUGAGUAACACGUGGGUAACCUACCCAUCAGAGGGGGAUAACACUUGGAAACAGGUGCUAAUACCGCAUAACAGUUUAUGCCGCAUGGCAUAAGAGUGAAAGGCGCUUUUCGGGUGUCGCUGAUGGAUGGACCCGCGGUGCAUUAGCUAGUUGGUGAGGUAACGGCUCACCAAGGCCACGAUGCAUAGCCGACCUGAGAGGGUGAUCGGCCACACUGGGACUGAGACACGGCCCAGAUCCUACGGGAGGCAGCCAGUAGGGAAUUUUUCGGCAAUGGACGAAAGUUUGACCGAGCA
This 389-nucleotide ribosomal RNA is filed under the name Enterococcus faecalis. RNAcentral's name for it is "bacterial SSU rRNA". It matches the Rfam family "Bacterial small subunit ribosomal RNA", at positions 28 to 393 of the family's 1533-position model. The record is from RNAcentral. Lineage: Bacteria; Bacillati; Bacillota; Bacilli; Lactobacillales; Enterococcaceae.